Ornithorhynchus anatinus (platypus) is the source of this 898-nucleotide long non-coding RNA. RefSeq lists it as uncharacterized. The transcript has 3 exons. Lineage: Eukaryota; Metazoa; Chordata; Mammalia; Monotremata; Ornithorhynchidae. The record is from RefSeq and is a predicted model, not a curated record.
CUGACAACUGAACUGCAUCUAGAGUUACAGUACUACUGUGACAGGCAGAAGGAUCAUGAUGCAAUCUGCAAGUUGAUAAUUCCACUUUUGAUUCCACUGGGAUUCAAGCUGAUCACGUGGGACCUACUCGGGCAGAGUGACGGCAUUGGCGAGUCAUCUUCAAGACCUGGACCAGCUUUUGUGACUGUGAACCAUAGACGGCAUCAAGUGGCAAGACAGGAAAACUAACGAGGUAUCGGACUGGAACGACCAACAGACAUCACAUCCUACUUCUCCCAGCAGCUCCAUCUCCACCCACCAGUAACAUCAUGUGGCGAGAUCAGGUCCCGCCAAAUGAGGUCCAGGAAUGCAGUGAGACGGUCCAACAGCGAAGCGAUCCUUUCACUGAGCAGAAGACGUGAGGCGCACGUGGGGCAGCAGGAUAUUCAAGCAGCCCCCGUAAGGCAAGCUGAAAUGGGCUCAUCAUAAAUAACGUGGAUUUUCAUGUCGCAGGGAAGCAAAACCUCAACUCUAGGUCAGAGUCAUAACCGGUUAGGAGGCAGCAGAAGGAGGAUCAGCUUGGAAUACCAUGAUUAGAAAUGGGGUGACUGCGUUAGCAUAGAGACUUCAAGAAGGUCGCCACAUCAAGAGGAGGAAAGAAAUAUGGUGUCAGGGAGUUGUGAGUAGCGAGGCGGCUGUGCAACCGGGGUCAUUCUUUAAAUGCACAGUAUGUGGAAGGACUCAUUAACGAUGCAGGGGUUUCAUUAGCCACUACUUUACUAGGAGCAGCUUGGCCCAUGACUGUCUUAGUAUAGAGUCUUCAAGAAGGUCGCCACAUCAAGAGGAGAAAAGAAAUAUGGUGUCAGGGAGUUGUGAGUAGCGAGGCGGCUGUGCAACCGGGGUCAUUCUUUAAAUGCAC